Molecule: ribosomal RNA, 429 nt
Filed under: Bacteroidota bacterium
Lineage: Bacteria; Pseudomonadati; Bacteroidota
Description: Bacteroidetes bacterium partial 16S ribosomal RNA
Rfam family: Bacterial small subunit ribosomal RNA
Source: RNAcentral
UAGGGAAUCUUCCGCAAUGGACGCAAGUCUGACGGAGCAACGCCGCGUGAGUGAAGAAGGUUUUCGGUUCGUAAAACUCUGUUGUUAGAGAAGAACAGCGCAUAGAGUAACUGUUAUGCGUGUGACGGUAUCUAACCAGAAAGCCACGGCUAACUACGUGCCAGCAGCCGCGGUAAUACGUAGGUGGCAAGCGUUGUCCGGAUUUAUUGGGCGUAAAGCGAGCGCAGGCGGUCAAUUAAGUCUGAUGUGAAAGCCCCCGGCUCAACCGGGGAGGGUCAUUGGAAACUGGUUGACUUGAGUGCAGAAGAGGAGAGUGGAAUUCCAUGUGUAGCGGUGAAAUGCGUAGAUAUAUGGAGGAACACCAGUGGCGAAGGCGACUCUCUGGUCUGUAACUGACGCUGAGGUUCGAAAGCGUGGGUAGCAAACAGG